RNAcentral lists this transfer RNA (80 nucleotides) under Hemiselmis andersenii. Its description in RNAcentral is "tRNA-Leu". It matches the Rfam family "tRNA". Rfam says of the family: Transfer RNA (tRNA) molecules are approximately 80 nucleotides in length. Their secondary structure includes four short double-helical elements and three loops (D, anti-codon, and T loops). Further hydrogen bonds mediate the characteristic L-shaped molecular structure. tRNAs have two regions of fundamental functional importance: the anti-codon, which is responsible for specific mRNA codon recognition, and the 3' end, to which the tRNAs corresponding amino acid is attached (by aminoacyl-tRNA synthetases). tRNAs cope with the degeneracy of the genetic code in two manners: having more than one tRNA (with a specific anti-codon) for a particular amino acid; and 'wobble' base-pairing, i.e. permitting non-standard base-pairing at the 3rd anti-codon position. The record is from RNAcentral. Lineage: Eukaryota; Cryptophyceae; Cryptomonadales; Hemiselmidaceae.
ACAGGAGUGGCGAAAUUGGUAAACGCGUUAUCUUGAGGGGAUAAUUUUCAUUAUUAAGAGUUCAAGUCUCUUCUUCUGUA